AACGAACGCUGGCGGCAGGCUUAACACAUGCAAGUCGAACGCUCGGGCAACCGGGAGUGGCAGACGGGUGAGUAACGCGUGGGAACAUACCCCUUGGUUCGGGAUAGCUCAGGGAAACUUGGAUUAAUACCGGAUACGACCGUGAGGUGAAAGAUUCAUCGCCGAGGGAUUGGCCCGCGUCUGAUUAGCUAGUUGGUGGGGUAACGGCUCACCAAGGCGACGAUCAGUAGCUGGUCUGAGAGGAUGAUCAGCCACAUUGGGACUGAGACACGGCCCA
RNAcentral lists this ribosomal RNA (277 nucleotides) under uncultured bacterium. RNAcentral's name for it is "partial 16S ribosomal RNA". It matches the Rfam family "Bacterial small subunit ribosomal RNA", at positions 29 to 333 of the family's 1533-position model. The record is from RNAcentral.